This 445-nucleotide ribosomal RNA is filed under the name uncultured bacterium. Its description in RNAcentral is "partial 16S ribosomal RNA". It matches the Rfam family "Bacterial small subunit ribosomal RNA", at positions 354 to 796 of the family's 1533-position model. The record is from RNAcentral.
GUAGGGAAUAUUGGGCAAUGGAGGCAACUCUGACCCAGCCAUGCCGUGUGCAGGAUGACGGCCCUCUGGGUUGUAAACUGCUUUUAUACGGGAAGAAAAAAUACUACGUGUAGUAUACUGACGGUACCGUAAGAAUAAGGAUCGGCUAACUCCGUGCCAGCAGCCGCGGUAAUACGGAGGAUCCAAGCGUUGUCCGGAUUUAUUGGGUUUAAAGGGUGCGUAGGCGGAUCUUUAAGUCAGUGGUGAAAGCCUGCAGCUUAACUGUAGAAUUGCCAUUGAAACUGAAGAUCUUGAAUGUGGUUAAAGUAGGCGGAAUGUAUCAUGUAGCGGUGAAAUGCUUAGAUAUGAUACAGAACACCGAUAGCGAAGGCAGCUUGCUGAACCAUUAUUGACGCUGAGGCACGAAAGCGUGGGGAGCGAACAGGAUUAGAAACCCCUGUAGUCC